AGCAUACAAGGAAAAACAGUGGGAGAAGGCUAUUGGUUGUUAUACCGAAGCCAUCAAACUUAACAGCAGAAAUGCUACAUAUUACAGUAAUAGGGCUGCAGCAUAUUUAGAGCUUAGAAGGUUUCACCAAGCAGAGGCAGAUUGCAGUAAAGCUAUUGACCUGGAUAAAAAGAAUGUUAAAUCCUAUUUACGAAGGGGUACAGCGAGAGAGAUGCUUGGUUUUUACAAGGAAGCAAUUGAAGAUUUUAGUCAUGCCCUUGUUCUUGAGCCAACAAACAAAAGA
RNAcentral lists this unclassified non-coding RNA (283 nucleotides) under Hevea brasiliensis (rubber tree). The record is from RNAcentral. Lineage: Eukaryota; Viridiplantae; Streptophyta; Magnoliopsida; Malpighiales; Euphorbiaceae.